UGCGUAGGUGGUGAGGUAAGUCGGAUGUGAAAGCUCGGAGCUCAACUCCGAAAUGGCAUUGGAAACUACCUUGCUCGAGGGUUGGAGGGGGGACUGGAAUGCUUGGUGUAGCAGUGAAAUGCGUAGAUAUCAAGCGGAACACCAGUGGCGAAGGCGAGUCCCUGGACAACUCCUGACACUGAGGCACGAAAGCUAGGGGGGCAAACA
This 207-nucleotide ribosomal RNA is filed under the name uncultured bacterium. Its description in RNAcentral is "partial 16S ribosomal RNA". It matches the Rfam family "Bacterial small subunit ribosomal RNA", at positions 568 to 774 of the family's 1533-position model. The record is from RNAcentral.